GGCGGGGUAGCUCAGAUGGUUAGAGCACAGGAUUCAUAACCCUGAGGUCAGCAGUUCGAUCCUGCUUCCCGCUACGA
This 77-nucleotide transfer RNA is filed under the name Dyadobacter frigoris. RNAcentral describes it as "Dyadobacter sp. AR-3-8 tRNA-Met". It matches the Rfam family "tRNA". Rfam says of the family: Transfer RNA (tRNA) molecules are approximately 80 nucleotides in length. The record is from RNAcentral. Lineage: Bacteria; Pseudomonadati; Bacteroidota; Cytophagia; Cytophagales; Spirosomataceae.